RNAcentral lists this ribosomal RNA (464 nucleotides) under uncultured bacterium. RNAcentral's name for it is "partial 16S ribosomal RNA". It matches the Rfam family "Bacterial small subunit ribosomal RNA", at positions 28 to 507 of the family's 1533-position model. The record is from RNAcentral.
GACGAACGCUGGCGGCGUGCUUAACACAUGCAAGUCGUACGGUAAGGCCCUUUCGGGGGUACACGAGUGGCGAACGGGUGAGUAACACGUGAGUAACCUGCCCACAACUUUGGGAUAACGCUAGGAAACUGGUGCUAAUACUGGAUAUGUGCUCCUGCUGCAUGGUGGGGGUUGGAAAGCUCCGGCGGUUGUGGAUGGACUCGCGGCCUAUCAGCUUGUUGGUGGGGUAGUGGCCUACCAAGGCGGCGACGGGUAGCCGGCCUGAGAGGGUGCCCGGCCAAAUGGGGCCUGAGUUCGGCCCAGACUCCUACGGGAGGCAGCAGUGGGGAAUAUUGCACAAUGGGCGCAAGCCUGAUGCAGCAACGCCGCGUGCGGGAUGACGGCCUUCGGGUUGUAAACCGCUUUCAGCAGGGACGAAGCUUUUUGUGACGGUACCUGCAGAAGAAGCACCGGCUAACUACGUG